CAUCGCCUCUUGUAAACAUAAGAGGUCCAGCCUGCCCAGUGAUUCAUUCAACGGCCGCGGUAUCCUAACCGUGCAAAGGUAGCGUAAUCACUUGUUUUCCAAAUAAAGACCAGUAUGAAAGGCAUCACGAGAACUAAACUGUCUCCUUUCUCUAAUCAGUGAACCUAAUCUCCCCGUGAAGAAGCGGGGAUCCUACUAUAAGACGAGAAGACCCUGUGGAGCUUAAAACAUUACAACAAUGCCCCCCUCCCCUCCAACCACCCUGAUGGCCCUUCCCCACCGGCACCCUGAUUAUAUGUUUUUGGUUGGGGUGACCGCGGAGAAAAACCUAUCCUCCGUAAUGAAAGGGAUUUCCCCCCUAAGCAACAAGCUACAACUUUACACAUCAAAAAAUUGACAUCUUUGACCCAAUAAAUUGAUUGACGAACCAAGUU
RNAcentral lists this ribosomal RNA (434 nucleotides) under Pristimantis sp. Guiana ABGD cluster 346. RNAcentral's name for it is "partial large subunit ribosomal RNA". It matches the Rfam family "Bacterial large subunit ribosomal RNA", at positions 1814 to 2395 of the family's 2925-position model. The record is from RNAcentral. Lineage: Eukaryota; Metazoa; Chordata; Amphibia; Anura; Strabomantidae.